This 623-nucleotide ribosomal RNA is filed under the name uncultured bacterium. RNAcentral describes it as "bacterial SSU rRNA". It matches the Rfam family "Bacterial small subunit ribosomal RNA", at positions 122 to 740 of the family's 1533-position model. The record is from RNAcentral.
GAACGUGCCCAGUCGUGGGGGAUAACGUAGCGAAUUCUACGCUAAUACCGCAUACGACCUGAGGGUGAAAGCGGGGGAUCGCAAGACCUCGCGCGAUUGGAGCGGCCGAUGGCAGAUUAGGUAGUUGGUGGGGUAAAGGCCUACCAAGCCUGCGAUCUGUAGCUGGUCUGAGAGGACGACCAGCCACACUGGGACUGAGACACGGCCCAGACUCCUACGGGAGGCAGCAGUGGGGAAUUUUGGACAAUGGGCGCAAGCCUGAUCCAGCCAUACCGCGUGCGGGAAGAAGGCCUUCGGGUUGUAAACCGCUUUUGUCAGGGAAGAAAUCUUCUGGGCUAAUACCUCGGGAGGAUGACGGUACCUGAAGAAUAAGCACCGGCUAACUACGUGCCAGCAGCCGCGGUAAUACGUAGGGUGCAAGCGUUAAUCGGAAUUACUGGGCGUAAAGCGUGCGCAGGCGGUUCCAUAAGACAGAUGUGAAAUCCCCGGGCUCAACCUGGGAACUGCAUUUGUGACUGUGGGGCUAGAGUACGGUAGAGGGGGAUGGAAUUCCGCGUGUAGCAGUGAAAUGCGUAGAUAUGCGGAGGAACACCCAUGGCGAAGGCAAUCCCCUGGACCUGUAC